Molecule: long non-coding RNA, 901 nt
Organism: Esox lucius (northern pike)
Lineage: Eukaryota; Metazoa; Chordata; Actinopteri; Esociformes; Esocidae
Exons: 2
Source: RefSeq, a predicted model, not a curated record
CGCUUGCUUCUUGAAGAACCUAGUGAUGGAAACAUGCAGGGCAACGCAUGGCACUUAAUGACUGGAGGACCAGAAACCUCAUCAUUAACAGGAAUCUGACUCUCCUCAUUGGACAGGAACUCCUUGCUGUUCACUGGAGAAAACGUUGUUUCCUUACUUCCGCACAAUUCAGGGACCUACCAAUCUUUAUCAUUGUUAGACUUAAAACACCCAACUCACCUGGUAAAUUGUGGAUGUUGCCCAUGGACUGCUUGUGUUUGGGCUGCAUCACCGCAGCGUCUGUGUGCUCUGGGAAGGAAGGCAAAAACGCUUUCAACAAGGAGGAGCAGCAGGCAGUGUGGAUAUGGAUAACUGACCACGGUACUGGACUGAUAGUCCAGGCGGACUAGGCUGCUGGCCCUAUUAACUGACCAUAAGCCCCUGCAGCAUGGGGCUCAAUUCCACUAUCUCUACAAGUAAAAGCAAAAACAUUUCUUCAAGAUUACAAUAAGAAUGCAAUUUCUAAAAUGAAGCAUGCGCGUGUGGCUCAGUUCCAAAUGAAAUCCUGGUCCCUCUACAGUGCACUACAAAGGUCAUGGGGGCAUGUUAUAUCCGGCGUUCUGAGAAAAACGUAUGACAAUCUUAGCGGCAUUACGUUUGCCCUUCAGCUGUUUGGGAUUCCGGAAGACGAAGCGAUCCAAGAACCUGCCGAGAGUGAAGUCCUGGAGAGGAUCUCCGGUGUAGCUGAUGAACUCUCCCUAAGGACAGGUGCAAAGGACGACUUAACACCCAAAACAAAUAUCGGAGUGGGGGAACACUCCCAAGGUUUAUCCAGGCUUGUCGGUUGCAUACGCAAAUUGUUGUUGAUAAUAAGUACAGGGUUUUGCAAGAAUAAAUCAAUAAAAUUGAAUCUUACCCGUAA